CACGGGGGGAGCAAGCGUUGUUCGGAAUCACUGGGCGUAAAGGGCGUGUAGGCGGUCCAGUAAGUGAGACGUGAAAUGCCUCGGCUUACCCGAGGACCUGCGUCUCAAACUGCUGAACUAGAGUAUGGGAGAGGAUGAGGGAAUUCCUGGUGUAGCGGUGAAAUGCGUAGAUAUCAGGAGGAACACCGGUGGCGAAAGCGCUCAUCUAGCCCAAUACUGACGCUGAGGCGCGAAAGCUAGGGGAGCAAACGGG
RNAcentral lists this ribosomal RNA (253 nucleotides) under uncultured bacterium. RNAcentral's name for it is "partial 16S ribosomal RNA". It matches the Rfam family "Bacterial small subunit ribosomal RNA", at positions 524 to 776 of the family's 1533-position model. The record is from RNAcentral.